Candidatus Buchananbacteria bacterium is the source of this 82-nucleotide non-coding RNA. The record is from Rfam. NCBI's taxonomy places the organism in Bacteria, Candidatus Buchananiibacteriota.
GCUGGAGUGGCGAAAUUGGUAUACGCGCGUGGUUUAGGACCACGUGGGGUAACCCGUGGAGGUUCGAGUCCUCUCUCCAGCA